GUCAAGAAAAUUAAGAUAUUACAUGUGAACAAUAUUAAAAAAUGAAGAAAAAAUAAUAUUUAACACAACAGAAUUCUAUAAAACAACAUAAUUGAAAUGUGAUGGGAAUUACACUGAACUUUCGGGAAAAAAAUGACAAAAACAAAUUAUUGUAACGCAUACACUGAACAUUAUUAGUACACAAAGUAAACUAGUGAGAGAAUGAAGAGUGAAAGUGUGCUUUAAACAUCCUGUUAGAGCCAUCUUACAUUUAUUUGAAUUAGAGUAGAAUAUGUGUCUGAUUAUUGAGAUUUGAUUUUUUUUUUUUUUUUUGUCAUUUCUUUGAGCUGAAAACCUACCCCUAGUGUUGCAUACCAGUCAUUCCACCAGAUAACACCUGUAGGGUCUUGCAUAAAAAGAUUAGGAAAUUAGAUUAAAGAAAUUAGAUAGGAUAGCUGUCAAUAAAAACACAAGUUUUAACUGCAUAUUUGUAGGUUUCCUUGUCAAUUGUAGUAUUUUUCUUUUCCUCUUUUUUUUUUUUUUGUAUGUGUGUCAAACAUUUGGAUGGAAAUAAAUGAAGCAAACUAAUAUAAACUAAAGCAUGUUGACUAUAGAUAUAAUAUAUAAUAUGGGCUAAAUGUGUCCAUGGUUGUAAAACAUUCUUAUAUUUAAUCUGUUUAUCUCACGAAUCACAAUAUGUAUAAGAAAAUGUGAAAUUUACUUGCUAUAUUCCUCAUUUAGUUGCUGUAUUUCUUUCCAACUCUAGAUGGCGAUUAGGAGUUGCAUAGGCAGGCCUACUUACCAAUUUGGGUCAGACCCAAAGACCCAGACGUUAUUCACUUUAGAGCAAUUAUAUGUGCAAAUUAUAUAGCAAAGUUUUAUAUAGUGAAUUUCCACGUUUUUGCUCGGCUGAUCACGUGCUUCACUGCAGAGCGCGGGCACGAACCUGGCCAGAACGGCGCGAAUUUCUGAGAGAAGCAGGCGUUCAUGGAAAUGGUGUUCACGGAAACCUGGCUUCAUCCAGACAUGGCCAGUUCACAGUUUGAGGUGGAUAGAUGGCUCUCUGGUUUGGGCCAGUCGUUCUGCAGCAUCAGGCAAGAACCGAGGAAAGAUACAACACUGCUCUAACAAAAACUAGAGUAAUCAUUGAAAGAACGAUUGGGCAGCUUAAAAGGAGAUUUCACUGUCUUCACGGGGAGCUGCGUCUAGAACCAGCAAGAGCAGGAAGAUUCAUCAUUGCAUGCGUCAUCCUCUUUAACAUAUCCAAAGACUUAGGUGUGCUCAUGGAUGACUACACUGAACCUGAAGGCGUAGUGCAGCCGAAUCAUAACGUGGAGGAUGUGACAGAGGGACAUGCUAUCUGAGAUGUGCUUGUGCAAAAAUUUUUUUCCUAAUGUGAGCUAGAAUAUGUUAAACUGUAGGCUAUAAUAGUGUUUAGAUACUCUAUAAAGCAGUAUAAUUAAUAAUUAAAAAUAAGUAAAAUCAAAACUUUAUUCUAUAUACUUUUCUUUAUUCAAGGCUGUAAUAUAUACAUUUUUAAUUAUACAUUGAAAAAAACAGCACAUUUACAGUAAGGAAAUCGCAUUAGUUAUGUAUUGUUAUAGGACAGUAUUGUUAUAUAGUUAUUAAAUAAUUUUAUAUUACAAACCAUUUGAACAAUAAACACCCUAUAUACCAACAGAUCAACGUUUGUGUUACUCUUCCCCUACUGGUUGUAAA
Megalobrama amblycephala (Wuchang bream) is the source of this 1698-nucleotide long non-coding RNA. RefSeq lists it as uncharacterized. The transcript has 3 exons. The record is from RefSeq and is a predicted model, not a curated record. Lineage: Eukaryota; Metazoa; Chordata; Actinopteri; Cypriniformes; Xenocyprididae.